CUUUGUGGCCAUACUGGCUUGUCAAACCUGACUCCAUCUGAUCUCAGAAGUAAAGCAGGGCUGGGCCUGGUCAGGACUUAGAUGGGAGACCACUAGGAAUACCAGGAACCACAGGGG
Molecule: ribosomal RNA, 117 nt
Filed under: Periophthalmus magnuspinnatus
Lineage: Eukaryota; Metazoa; Chordata; Actinopteri; Gobiiformes; Gobiidae
Source: RNAcentral